AAUAUUGCGCAAUGGAGGUAACUCUGACGCCGCGAGGCCUCGUGAGCUAUUAUGGUCUUCGGAUCGUAACGCUCUGUCCUUGGGGAAGAAGGGAGCCGUAAGCCUUCUUGCCGGUACCCUUGGAGGAAGCCCCGUCUAACUACGCGCCAGCAGCCGCGGUAAUACGUAGGGGGCGAGCGUUGUCAGGAAUUACUGGGCGUAAAGGGUACGUAGGCGGCUAUAUAAGUCAGGUGUGAAAUACCAGUGCUUAACACUGGAAUUGCAUUUGAAACUGGGUAGCUUGAGUGCAGGAGAGGAAAGUGGAAUUCCUAGUGUAGCGGUGAAAUGCGUAGAGAUUAGGAGGAAAACCAGUGGCGAAGGCGACUUUCUGGACUGUAACUGACGCUGAGGUACGAAAGCGUGGGUAGCGAACA
This 413-nucleotide ribosomal RNA is filed under the name uncultured bacterium. RNAcentral's name for it is "partial 16S ribosomal RNA". It matches the Rfam family "Bacterial small subunit ribosomal RNA", at positions 360 to 774 of the family's 1533-position model. The record is from RNAcentral.